Molecule: ribosomal RNA, 1195 nt
Filed under: Escherichia coli 6-175-07_S1_C2
Lineage: Bacteria; Pseudomonadati; Pseudomonadota; Gammaproteobacteria; Enterobacterales; Enterobacteriaceae
Description: bacterial LSU rRNA
Rfam family: Bacterial large subunit ribosomal RNA
Source: RNAcentral
UUAAGCGACUAAGCGUACACGGUGGAUGCCCUGGCAGUCAGAGGCGAUGAAGGACGUGCUAAUCUGCGAUAAGCGUCGGUAAGGUGAUAUGAACCGUUAUAACCGGCGAUUUCCGAAUGGGGAAACCCAGUGUGAUUCGUCACACUAUCAUUAACUGAAUCCAUAGGUUAAUGAGGCGAACCGGGGGAACUGAAACAUCUAAGUACCCCGAGGAAAAGAAAUCAACCGAGAUUCCCCCAGUAGCGGCGAGCGAACGGGGAGGAGCCCAGAGCCUGAAUCAGUGUGUGUGUUAGUGGAAGCGUCUGGAAAGGCGCGCGAUACAGGGUGACAGCCCCGUACACAAAAAUGCACAUACUGUGAGCUCGAUGAGUAGGGCGGGACACGUGGUAUCCUGUCUGAAUAUGGGGGGACCAUCCUCCAAGGCUAAAUACUCCUGACUGACCGAUAGUGAACCAGUACCGUGAGGGAAAGGCGAAAAGAACCCCGGCGAGGGGAGUGAAAAAGAACCUGAAACCGUGUACGUACAAGCAGUGGGAGCCUCUUUAUGGGGUGACUGCGUACCUUUUGUAUAAUGGGUCAGCGACUUAUAUUCUGUAGCAAGGUUAACCGAAUAGGGGAGCCGAAGGGAAACCGAGUCUUAACUGGGCGUUAAGUUGCAGGGUAUAGACCCGAAACCCGGUGAUCUAGCCAUGGGCAGGUUGAAGGUUGGGUAACACUAACUGGAGGACCGAACCGACUAAUGUUGAAAAAUUAGCGGAUGACUUGUGGCUGGGGGUGAAAGGCCAAUCAAACCGGGAGAUAGCUGGUUCUCCCCGAAAGCUAUUUAGGUAGCGCCUCGUGAAUUCAUCUCCGGGGGUAGAGCACUGUUUCGGCAAGGGGGUCAUCCCGACUUACCAACCCGAUGCAAACUGCGAAUACCGGAGAAUGUUAUCACGGGAGACACACGGCGGGUGCUAACGUCCGUCGUGAAGAGGGAAACAACCCAGACCGCCAGCUAAGGUCCCAAAGUCAUGGUUAAGUGGGAAACGAUGUGGGAAGGCCCAGACAGCCAGGAUGUUGGCUUAGAAGCAGCCAUCAUUUAAAGAAAGCGUAAUAGCUCACUGGUCGAGUCGGCCUGCGCGGAAGAUGUAACGGGGCUAAACCAUGCACCGAAGCUGCGGCAGCGACACUAUGUGUUGUUGGGUAGGGGAGCGUU